GCUUACGGCCAUACCAACCUGGCUAUGCCCGAUCUCGUCUGAUCUCGGAAGCUAAGCAGGUUUGGGCCUGGUUAGCACUUGGAUGGGAGACCGCCUGGGAAUACCAGGUGCUGUAAGCU
Ribosomal RNA from Carassius auratus (goldfish), 119 nucleotides. The record is from Ensembl. Lineage: Eukaryota; Metazoa; Chordata; Actinopteri; Cypriniformes; Cyprinidae.